RNAcentral lists this ribosomal RNA (469 nucleotides) under uncultured bacterium. Its description in RNAcentral is "bacterial SSU rRNA". It matches the Rfam family "Bacterial small subunit ribosomal RNA", at positions 331 to 792 of the family's 1533-position model. The record is from RNAcentral.
CCAGACUCCUACGGGAGGCAGCAGUGGGGAAUAUUGCACAAUGGGCGCAAGCCUGAUGCAGCCAUGCCGCGUGUAUGAAGAAGGCCUUCGGGUUGUAAAGUACUUUCAGCGGGGAGGAAGGCGAUAAGGUUAAUAACCUUGUCGAUUGACGUUACCCGCAGAAGAAGCACCGGCUAACUCCGUGCCAGCAGCCGCGGUAAUACGGAGGGUGCAAGCGUUAAUCGGAAUUACUGGGCGUAAAGCGCACGCAGGCGGUCUGUCAAGUCGGAUGUGAAAUCCCCGGGCUUAACCUGGGAACCGCAUAUGUGACUGCUUGGCUAGAGUGCGUCAGAGGGAGGUGGAAUUCCACGUGUAGCAGUGAAAUGCGUAGAUAUGUGGAAGAACACCGAUGGCGAAGGCGGCCCCCUGGACAAAGACUGACGCUCAGGUGCGAAAGCGUGGGGAGCAAACAGGAUUAGAUACCCCAGUA